Non-coding RNA from Schistosoma mattheei, 42 nucleotides. NCBI's taxonomy places the organism in Eukaryota, Metazoa, Platyhelminthes, Trematoda, Strigeidida, Schistosomatidae. The record is from Rfam.
AUGCUGACGAGUCCCAAACAGGACGAAACGCGCGUCCUGGAU